Molecule: ribosomal RNA, 800 nt
Filed under: uncultured euryarchaeote
Lineage: Archaea; Methanobacteriati; Methanobacteriota
Description: bacterial SSU rRNA
Rfam family: Archaeal small subunit ribosomal RNA
Source: RNAcentral
CCGGGAAACUGGGGAUAAGCUCCCAUAGGAGAUGGACGCUGGAAAGCCCCAUCUCCCAAAGUAUGUUGCUUUGCAGCAUAGCCUGAGGAUGGGUCCGCGGCCGAUUAGGUUGUUGUUGGUGUAAAGGACCAACAAGCCUGUGAUCGGUACGGGUGGUGAGAGCCAUAGCCCGGAGAUGGACUCUGAGACAUGAGUCCAGGCCCUACGGGGCGCAGCAGGCGCGAAAACUCCGCAAUGCGCGAAAGCGCGACGGGGGGACUCCGAGUGUUCCUGCUUUCGCAGGAGCUUUUGGGGAGUUUAAAAAGCUCCCUGAAUAAGGGCUGGGUAAGACCGGUGCCAGCCGCCGCGGUAAUACCGGCAGCCCGAGUGGUGGCCACUAUUAUUGGGCCUAAAGCGUCCGUAGCCGGUCUGGAAAGUCUCCACUUAAAUCUCCAGACUUAAUCUGGAGGUUGGUGGAGAUACUUUCAGACUAGGGGCCGGGAGACGCAGGAGGUACUCCCGGGGUAGGGGUGAAAUCCUAUAAUCCCGGGGGGACCACCGGUGGCAAAGGCGUCCUGCGAGAACGGGCCCGACGGUGAUGGACGAAAGCCAGGGGCGCGAACGGGAUUAGAUACCCCGGUAGUCCUGGCUGUAAACGCUGCGGGCUAGGUGCUACAUCUCCUACAGGGGGGUGUAGUGCCGUAGAGAAGUCGUUAAGCCCGCCGCCUGGGAAGUACGCCCGCAAGGGUGAAACUUAAAGGAAUUGGCGGGGGAGCACCACAAGGGGUGGAGGCUGCGGUUCAAUUGGAUUCAACGCCGGG